Molecule: ribosomal RNA, 301 nt
Filed under: uncultured bacterium
Lineage: Bacteria
Description: partial 16S ribosomal RNA
Rfam family: Bacterial small subunit ribosomal RNA
Source: RNAcentral
CAGUAGCCGCGGUAAUACGUAGGGUGCAAGCGUUAAUCGGAAUUACUGGGCGUAAAGCGUGCGCAGGCGGUUUGUUAAGACAGAUGUGAAAUCCCCGGGCUCAACCUGGGAACUGCAUUUGUGACUGGCAAGCUAGAGUCUGGCAGAGGGGGGUGGAAUUCCGCGUGUAGCAGUGAAAUGCGUAGAUAUGCGGAGGAACACCGAUGGCGAAGGCAGCCCCCUGGGCCAACACUGACGCUCAUGCACGAAAGCGUGGGGAGCAAACAGGAUUAGAUACCCGGGUAGUCCCUGUCUCUUAUAC